GCUAACGCAUUAAGCACUCCGCCUGGGGAGUACGGUCGCAAGACUGAAACUCAAAGGAAUUGACGGGGGCCCGCACAAGCGGUGGAGCAUGUGGUUUAAUUCGAAGCAACGCGAAGAACCUUACCAGGUCUUGACAUCCUCUGACAACCCUAGAGAUAGGGCUUUCCCCUUCGGGGGACAGAGUGACAGGUGGUGCAUGGUUGUCGUCAGCUCGUGUCGUGAGAUGUUGGGUUAAGUCCCGCAACGAGCGCAACCCUUGAUCUUAGUUGCCAGCAUUCAGUUGGGCACUCUAAGAUGACUGCCGGUGACAAACCGGAGGAAGGUGGGGAUGACGUCAAAUCAUCAUGCCCCUUAUGACCUGGGCUACACACGUGCUACAAUGGACGGUACAAAGGGCUGCAAGACCGCGAGGUUUAGCCAAUCCCAUAAAACCGUUCUCAGUUCGGAUUGUAGGCUGCAACUCGCCUACAUGAAGCUGGAAUCGCUAGUAAUCGCGGAUCA
Molecule: ribosomal RNA, 501 nt
Filed under: Bacillus sp. (in: firmicutes)
Lineage: Bacteria; Bacillati; Bacillota; Bacilli; Caryophanales; Bacillaceae
Description: bacterial SSU rRNA
Rfam family: Bacterial small subunit ribosomal RNA
Source: RNAcentral